This 462-nucleotide ribosomal RNA is filed under the name Salmonella enterica. RNAcentral's name for it is "partial 23S ribosomal RNA". It matches the Rfam family "Bacterial large subunit ribosomal RNA", at positions 1154 to 1590 of the family's 2925-position model. The record is from RNAcentral. Lineage: Bacteria; Pseudomonadati; Pseudomonadota; Gammaproteobacteria; Enterobacterales; Enterobacteriaceae. RNAcentral also lists the same sequence under 1 other name.
CGUAUCACCCAAGACAACUUUACGGAGUUGACGAUUGACGGAGCGAAGCGACGUCAAAGCGUUCAUUAAAGUCGAGUUGGCUUAGGGAUACGUUCGUUGGGUAGGGGAGCGUUCUGUAAGCCUGUGAAGGUGUGUCGUGAGGCAUGCUGGAGGUAUCAGAAGUGCGAAUGCUGACAUAAGUAACGAUAAAGCGGGUGAAAAGCCCGCUCGCCGGAAGACCAAGGGUUCCUGUCCAACGUUAAUCGGGGCAGGGUGAGUCGACCCCUAAGGCGAGGCCGAAAGGCGUAGUCGAUGGGAAACGGGUUAAUAUUCCCGUACUUGGUGUUACUGCGAAGGGGGGACGGAGAAGGCUAUGUUGGCCGGGCGACGGUUGUCCCGGUUUAAGCGUGUAGGUGUGUGUUCCAGGUAAAUCCGGUUCACUUUAACACUGAGGCGUGACGACGAGGCACUACGGUGCUGAAG